CAGAGACUGCAAGCGUUAUUCGGAUUCACUGGGCGUAAAGGGUGCGCAGGCGGUCGUGUGUGUCAGAUGUGAAAUCCCGGAGCUUAACUCCGGAACUGCGUCUGAAACUACACGACUAGAGCAUUGGAGAGGGAAGUGGAAUUCAUGGUGUAGCAGUGAAAUGCGUAGAUAUCAUGAGGAACACCAGAGGCGAAGGCGACUUCCUGGACAAUUGCUGACGCUCAGGCACGAAAGCAUGGGGAGCAAAAGGGAUUAGAUACCCCUGUAGUCCAUGCCCUAAACGGUGCACACUAGGUCUUGGAGGAUUCGACCCCUUCAGGGCCCAAGCUAACGCGUUAAGUGUGCCGCCUGAGGACUACGGUCGCAAGACUA
This 372-nucleotide ribosomal RNA is filed under the name uncultured organism. RNAcentral's name for it is "bacterial SSU rRNA". It matches the Rfam family "Bacterial small subunit ribosomal RNA", at positions 526 to 896 of the family's 1533-position model. The record is from RNAcentral.